UGAGGGAAGCGGACGUUGGAACCGCUCUGGCGGCCGACUCUUGAGUAGUAGGCCUCGACUGGAAGGCGGGAGAGCGCGUGUGAGGCGUGGGUAUUUUGUUAUCCCUGUGUGGUUCUUUAAAGAGAGAACGAACGGACUGCGCGGCAAAACCCGUACUGUGAUAGGUUUCUUUUAGAAGAGAGGAUAAGGCGAUCAAGUGUAGGUUUUCCCGAUUGUUUAUGUGGAGGUCGUCUGACAGUCACUCGCUUCGUUUAUAAAACCGUCGAGGGUGGUUUUUACAGCAGGUGUAUUUUGCUCUGUGUGUCGACAAUUAUCAAGAUGAGCAAAAAGUACUCGGAAAGGAUCGAUUAAGAUGUUUAAAAAACAUACUUUGCAUGCCUUUUGGUGAUCAAGACAAGCCCUAGGCACUUCAUUUCACCGCGAACACUGCAAGAAAACUCUUGAAGAUAAGUACUCUAGAACAGCAUGGCCUGCCCCCCUGUGUGUGCGUGUGCAAUCCCUGAGCUGCCCUGUUGUGACCCAGGCUCAAAGUGGUACAUGGGAGAAAAAAGAACCGUGAAGUUUGCUAUCCUAAGAAUUUGUUGGAUGGAAGCGUGCAAGUCACAGAUCAGAGAAAGUAUAUAAUUUAAUAAUGGCUCACACAAGGAUCAUGUGUAUGUUGUUCAUUCUUUUCUUGUUAUCACAUCCAUAGCAUGAUAUCAGGCUUUUAAGAUUUUUACAGUGCUCCUCUUAAGAUAAAAUCUAAUACAGCAGUAGGCAACCUGAUGCCUGCCCUCCAGGUGCUUAGAGUUCAGUUUCCAUUUCCUCCAACCAGUCAUUUCUCUGAUUAAUGAAAUACCAAUGCAUUACAAAAAUGUAAAUUGAACUAUGAUUCCAGAUGUACAUGCACCACUGAUCCCUUUCCCUUUUUGUUUGAUAAAGAAAAGAUGAUCAAAAUUAAUUCAAGAUAAAUUAAUAAUUUCGAUAAUGAAGUACCGCAUGACCCAUUAUCAAAUAAAAAUAAAGGGAUUAUUUUUUCAACAAAGUUAAAAUAUCUCUAAAAUAUACAGCUAUUCCAAUUUACUGGAACUAUUAAAUUAUCAAAUACUGGAAUAUUUAAUUUUUAAUUUUUUUUAAAUUUGCAUUUAUAUCCCGCCCUUCUCCGAAGACUCAGGGCGGCUUACACUAUGUUAGCAAUAGUCUUCAUCCUAUUUGUAUAUUUAUAUACAAAGUCAACCUAUUGCCCCCAACAAUCUGGGUCCUCAUUUUACCUACCUUAUAAAGGAUGGAAGGCUGAGUCAACCUUGGGCUUGGUGGGACUAGAACCUGCAGUAAUUGCAAGCAGCUGUGUUAAUAACAGACUGUUUUAGCAGUCUGAGCCACAGACUUCAAUGAAGACUUAACAUUUCAAGUCAUCGAAGUGUAAUAAAUAUAUUACAUAAAUGAAUAAAUAUAAUACAAAUAUCAAUUAUUGUAAUUUAAUCUUGUAAGAUGACAGCUGUUUUCAAAUUCUUUCCGAAAUUCUGUAGAUAAAACAAAACUACACUUGAUAAAUAGAAAUGGUGAUUGAACAGAAUUUAACCACUUCCUCAAAGACAUUACUGAAAUUUCUUAAAGACGGGUAGUGGAAGAUAAGAUGGGCAGCUGCUCUGCUAUGAUUGGUUAUUAAGUUUUUAUGCAAAUUUGAAUAAAAGGAGCAAUUAAGAAAGUUGUGUGUUACUUUCCUGCAAAGGAUAUGGAGUUAGGUGAUGUGCUAUUGAAUCUCCCUCAUCAAAGAGUUGAAAGUAAGACCCUGAAUCUCACUGUAAAGAUUUUUGUGUGUGCCGGUUUUAAAACAAUAAGGCAUUUAAUCACAGAAAACAGUCUUCCUAGUAUGUCUGAGUUACAGGAUUUUUUGUAAUAAAACUUUAUAACCUUUUGUAAGUGGAUCAAAACAAUUUUUUUUAAUCUGGAUUUUUUUCAUAGCUAACUGAAACCAGAUAUUUCAUGAAAAGUCUGAAGCUUUAAAUUAAACUUAGGCAAGAGGAAACCAAGUUACUUUGCUGGGUCAUAGCAGCAGCAAGACAUUCAGUGAAAAUGAAUUUGAACCAUUAUUGCAGACAGCAUAGUUAUAAUUGCACCCUAAUAAGGUUUGGCUUAAUUCAACUCUUCAUAAAACUCUGGGCACACAAAAUAUAGGCCAUCGAAAGUUGACUGAAUCCACACUGAGAUAAUUGCCGAAGGAUGCACCAUGGAGCAAAUAGCUUACUAUCUUUAGUCAGAAGAUUUUGGUAGUGGCCACUAUUGCAGGUAGAAAAUCAAAGUAAGGCAUUUUUCACAAAUUGACUUGCAUGGGUGCAGCUUUAAUGUUUUUGGCCAAGGAUGUUGAAACUUGAACGGGCAGUGUUUGAUUCAAUCUUGAGAGAAAUUGGGACAAAUGGCUGUCUCAUCUAUUGAUUGAUAUUCCAAUCCCUGCCCUUCUACAAAUGAGUAAGGAAGACUGUUACAGUAUUUUCAUAAAACUGACUGUAAAAGUACGCUGAGGAAAAAAUUUGAAAAGUUCCCCAUGAACUAUUUUCUUUGCAAGUGUAGUUGGAGAACCUGCUCCUAAUUAGUUGAGUAAAAUCCAUAAGCAUAUUUUGGUUUCUUUAUGGAAACCAAACUAUGUUUAUGGCACUUUGCAGAAUCUUGUGGUCACAUGAUUGUGUUUUACAACAGUUUUGCUGAAAACUGACAUUUACUUUGUUUUCAUCAAAACCAGCCCAUAGAAAACCAUUGGUUGACUUAGCAACUGCAACAUUUUCUUAAUGACAGCUGCAAAAAAGAUAAGAUCAGGUUGGUCAUGUGGGUAACCAAUUUAUGACGGCUGUUAGCGUAGUGGAUGCUAGCCUUGUUUAUAACUUGUGGAAUUUUGAAUUUAUAGUAGGCAAUGCCUCCAUUAUAACAAAUGACAAGGCAUUAUAAUGACUGAUACCUUCAAAAAUGACAACUUCUUGAGUAACAAUAAUUAAAUUAUUUAAUUAUUUAAAUUUAUUUAAUAAUUAGCCUAAAACUAUACAUCUCAAGAUUUGAUAUCAAUAUAAAUGACAGAAUAAUGAAAUAAUUAGCUAUAAAUUAGUCUUGUUCAUUCAUAUUGACAUAAUGGCCUCAUGUUAAUUAGAAACCAUACCAUUCAUAUUGUUAUAAAACUGAACACGCUUUUUAUUGAUCAGUUGUACUCUAUAAUUUGCACAUUCAUUUCCAAGACUGAUUUCAGACAGUUUUAUAAAUAUAUGAAUUAGCGCGUAAUUAUGUGAACUCAAGGAAGGCAAUGUCAUUUGGUACUGGCAACUUAUUUUGAUCAGUUUUUAAAUAAUGGCUUAACUGUGUUGUAGAUUUAUUGUAGAAUUUAUAGGAUGGAUCGAGAUUGAUAUAAGGCUGUGAUUGUAUACUGAGGACAUCUGAAAUUGGCUGCUAUGGGACAGCAUCAGACUUACAUAUGAAGGGCAUGUACUUAAUUUUCGGUUAUACUCCAUACUAAUAUGGUGAGUCUGAUAUUUCUUGGUACAGGUAUCACCUAUACACAAACAAGGUGAUCAUACCUAAUACUCCUCCCUAUUUAUUUAUUUAUUUAAUUUAUUUAUUUAUUUUGUCACACAGUAUAUAUGUGUAAGCAUGAAAUAACUAUACAAUAUAUAAAUAUAUAUAUAAGUAUGAGUAUAUAAUAACUAAAUUAAUUGGAUAUAACGAAAGGAAACAAUAGGACAGGAACGAUAGGCACUCUUGUGCUCUUAUGCACACCCUUUAUAGACUUCUUGGGAAUGGGGUGAGGUCAAUAGUAGACAGUUUUUGGUUGAAGAUUUGGGGAUUUUGGGAACAGACCAGAGUGUCAGGUAGUGUAUUCCAGGCAUUAACAACUCUGUUACUGAAGUCAUAUUUUCUGCAGUCAAGAUUGGAGCGGUUAACAUUAAGCUUAAAUCUAUUGUGUGCUUGUGUAUUGUUGCAAUUGAAGCUGAAGUUUUCCUCCCGUUUUCUCCACAACAACCACCCCCUGAGAAGAGUUGGACUGAAAGUGAGUGGUCCAAAGUGACCCAGGCUUUCAUGCCUGUGGUGGGAGAGUCUCCAGAUUUCUAGUCUAGUGUCUUAACCAGUUAUAAUUAUUGUGGAAACAGAACACAAACAAUUUAAACAUAUUACUUAUACAAAGUCUGCAUUAUUCUUUAAGGCCAUUGUCCUCCCACAGCUCAUUAGGCAUUAAUAUUUGGAAUUUGUACUUAAGAUAUAUUCCUUGCAGUUUGAGAAUUUAUUUUUUCAGUUUUCAAAUAACAUUAAAAAACCCUUACUAAUCAUAGAUUUGAUUAAUCCAUAAGAAAAACUGACUUAAACAUCCCUCAAAAUUGCAUAGCAUUUUUCUAGUCUAUUAUAUUUAAUUGGAGUUUUAUCUGCCAUUGGAAUACAUUUUACAAUUCUUUGCCAUUGUAAAUAUUUUAUUUCUUUUUUAACAGCACUGUUUGAAUAAUAAAUUAUUUCUACCACUAACCAUUACUAGUGGAGCUAUUGUAACAAUAUCUCAUUUGUAAAUUUGUUCAUCAUUUGCUUUAGAUAGCAAUUGUGCUGCACUUUACCUUCUCUACAUUGGAUAAAAAAACCUUAACUAUGCUAGCAGAAUGGUACUUUUUACUCACUUUCUUUUAGUUGACCUCUGACCUUUGUCUGACCUCAAAAUCCACUUUGGAACAUAGAAUUUUUUUAAGUUCCAAAGGCUUUUCAAAAUGCAGCUGGGCCUAUGGAUAAGGAAAGUGAAUCCACCUGCUUCCAUUCCAUUAGCAGAAAUUGCUUCUAUUGACAGACGUAUAGUGUAGUCUUGUCUACCCAUACUCUCUCACAUACACACAAUUAUCAGUUAAACUGUCAGGGACCACAUGUAGUUCUUUUGAGUAUCUAUACAUAUACAAAUAUUUAUCUUACUACAUACCAGGCUCCUUGCCUCAUUUUUUUUUUUUUUUUUAAUUUAAAAUACUGAAAUCAUUUUGUGAAGGAGUAAGCCAUGGUAGUCUUUCUUCCAUUAUUGUCACAUAAAACAAUCAUGACAUAUUAUGAAUGUAUAAUCCCAAUGUAACUAAUGUAAAAGGA
Long non-coding RNA from Ahaetulla prasina, 5070 nucleotides. RefSeq lists it as uncharacterized. The record is from RefSeq and is a predicted model, not a curated record. The transcript is spliced from 4 exons. NCBI's taxonomy places the organism in Eukaryota, Metazoa, Chordata, Lepidosauria, Squamata, Colubridae.